RNAcentral lists this ribosomal RNA (386 nucleotides) under uncultured bacterium. Its description in RNAcentral is "bacterial SSU rRNA". It matches the Rfam family "Bacterial small subunit ribosomal RNA", at positions 29 to 417 of the family's 1533-position model. The record is from RNAcentral.
AUUAAACGCUGGCGGCAUGCCUUACACAUGCAAGUCGAACGGCAGCACGGGGGCAACCCUGGUGGCGAGUGGCGGACGGGUGAGUAAAGCAUCGGAACGUAUCCUGGAGUGGGGGAUAACGUAGCGAAAGUUACGCUAAUACCGCAUAUUCUGUGAGCAGGAAAGCAGGGGAUCGCAAGACCUUGCGCUCUGGGAGCGGCCGAUGUCGGAUUAGCUAGUUGGUGGGGUAAAGGCCUACAAGGCGACGAUCCGUAGCGGGUCUGAGAGGAUGAUCCGCCACACUGGGACUGAGACACGGCCCAGACUCCUACGGGAGGCAGCAGUGGGGAAUUUUGGACAAUGGGCGCAAGCCUGAUCCAGCCAUGCCGCGUGAGUGAAGAAGGCCU